GCCCGCACGCCUAUUCUCCUGCUGUUCUUCAAACAAGCUGUAAAUAGUGUGUGUCCUUGGAAAGCAAGCAGGUGAAACUGCAAAUGCCAUACAAAGAGGACUGUCCAUAUUAUGAAGCUCUACCAGAUUGCCCUGGCUCAAGUGAUGUAUUACAAGGUGAAGACCAGAGAUGGAGAGGCAAGGAAGUGUCCAUCUGGACCAUCUCAUCAUGCACUUCCAUCGAGACACUGCAUCAAGAGCCACUUCUAUUGCGCUAAUUAUACCUCAGUCCCUUUGUUCCCCGCCCCCCCGCAGAGCACAUCAGAAUCCCAGUAAGUGAUUAUAGUAGUCACUUGCUUAUC
This is a long non-coding RNA of Nannospalax galili (Upper Galilee mountains blind mole rat), 341 nucleotides long. RefSeq lists it as uncharacterized. The transcript is spliced from 3 exons. NCBI's taxonomy places the organism in Eukaryota, Metazoa, Chordata, Mammalia, Rodentia, Spalacidae. The record is from RefSeq and is a predicted model, not a curated record.